RNAcentral lists this ribosomal RNA (254 nucleotides) under uncultured bacterium. RNAcentral's name for it is "partial 16S ribosomal RNA". It matches the Rfam family "Bacterial small subunit ribosomal RNA", at positions 524 to 777 of the family's 1533-position model. The record is from RNAcentral.
UACAGAGGGUGCGAGCGUUGUCCGGAAUCACUGGGCGUAAAGGGCGCGUAGGCGGUCUGCUAAGCGUGCGGUGAAAGCCCGGGGCUCAACCCCGGGUCGGCCGUGCGAACUGGUGGACUGGAGCUUGUCAGAGGCAGGCGGAAUUCCGGGUGUAGCGGUGGAAUGCGUAGAUAUUCGCAAGAACACCAGUGGCGAAGGCGGCUCACUGGCCCGAUACUGACGCUGAGGCACGAAAGCGUGGGGAGCAAACAGGG